Molecule: non-coding RNA, 642 nt
Organism: Camellia sinensis
Lineage: Eukaryota; Viridiplantae; Streptophyta; Magnoliopsida; Ericales; Theaceae
Source: RefSeq, a predicted model, not a curated record
GGUCCAUGGUGGUUUAGAAAAAUCCAUGAUGGCCUAGAAAACAAUUUACUGCAAAAAAAAUAGUGGCAAGUUGGAGGCCCACAAAAGAAAAGGGCCCAUUAAAAAAUGGUGGCCUAGAAAAGGAAAAGUCCAUGAUGAUCUAGAAAAAUCCAUGAUGGCCUAGAAAAAAAAUCUGCUGUAAAAAAAAUUGUGGCAAGUUGGAGGCCCACAAAAGAAAAGGCCCAAUUUAAAAAAAAUGGUGGCCUAGAAAAGAAAAGGUCCAUGAUGGUUUAGAAAAUCCAUGAUGGCCUAGAAAACAAUUUACUGCAAAAAAAAUAGUGGCAAGUUGGAGGCCCACAAAAGAAAAGGCCCAAUUAAAAUGGUGGCCUAGAAAAGAAAAGGCCCAAUUAAAAUGGUGGCCUAGAAAAGGAAAGGUCCAUUAUAGCCUUAAAAAAAGAAGAAAUGGUGGCAAGUUGGAGGUCCACAAAAGGAAACGUCCAAUUAAAUCUUGGACCUUACUCAUGACCCUUAAAAAAAUAAAAAAAAUUUAAAAAAAAUAAAAAUAAAUAAAUCAAGUCCACAAAAAGGACCCAUGCAACAGAAGUAAAUGGCCCAUGGACUAUAAAGGGCAAUUAACCCUUUAUUUAAAAAAAAAAAAAAAAA